This 431-nucleotide ribosomal RNA is filed under the name uncultured archaeon. RNAcentral's name for it is "bacterial SSU rRNA". It matches the Rfam family "Archaeal small subunit ribosomal RNA", at positions 474 to 903 of the family's 1478-position model. The record is from RNAcentral.
UACCAGCUCUCCGAGUUGUAGGAACGAUUAUUGGGCUUAAAGCGCCCGUAGCCGGCUUAGCAAGUCUCCUGUUAAAUUCAGCGACCCAAUCGUUGAGCCGCGGGAGAUACUACUAGGCUAGGAGGCGGGAGAGGUCGACGGUACUUUCGGGGUAGGGGUGAAAUCCUAUAAUCCCGGGAGGACCGCCAGUGGCGAAGGCUGUCGACUAGAACGCGCUCGACGGUGAGGGACGAAAGCUGGGGGAGCGAACCGGGAUUAGAUACCCGGGUAGUCCCAGCUGUAAACGAUGCGGGCUAGGUGUUGGGGUGGCUACGGGCCACUUCGGUGCCGCAGGAAAGCCAUUAAGCCCGCCGCCUGGGGAGUACGGCCGCAAGGCUGAAACUUAAUGGAAUUGGCGGGGGAGCACCGACAAGGCGUGAAGCUUGCGGUUC